Molecule: long non-coding RNA, 580 nt
Filed under: Homo sapiens (human)
Lineage: Eukaryota; Metazoa; Chordata; Mammalia; Primates; Hominidae
Description: non-protein coding lnc-CLDN4-1:2
Source: RNAcentral
ACUUGUGCUGAGCUACUGGCUGAUCCCCAAGGACAUCCUUCUGGCCUCUCCUUCACACCUGGGUCCCCUAGCCCUGCGUGAGCUCUGUGCUUCUUCCCCUGCCCUGUGUCUGCUCUAUGCCUGGAGCCUCUGUACCUGCCCUCUCCUCAACCCCCAACCCCUCCCUGCUCUCAGCUCCCGAUACGCGUGGCUAUGCCUGGGAGGGAAGGACAGCUUCUUAGGGCCACAGAUGGAGUCUCGCUCUAUCACCCAGGCUGGAGUGCAAUGGCGCGAUCUUGGCUCACCGCAACCUCCAUCUCCCAGGUUAAAGCGAUUCUCCUGCCUCAGUCUCCUGAGUAGCUGUGAUUACAGGCGUGCGCCAUCACACCCAGCUAAUUUUUGUAUUUUUUAGUAGAGAUGGGGUUUCACCAUGUUGGCCUAACUCCUGACCUCGUGAUCUGCCCAUCUUGGCCUCCGAAAGUACUGGGAUUACAGGUGUGAGCCACUGCACCCGGCCCAAACAUUUCUUUUUCUUUUCUUUUGAGACAGAGUCUUGCUCUGUUGCCCGUGGCUGGAGUGAAAUGGUGCGAUUAUAGUUCAC